CACUCGUUUAAUUCAUGCAAUUCUUCAAUAUUUUUGUGGUGAUGCUUUUCUUACUACAUGUUAUUUCAUUAAUCGCAUGCCUUUUCGAUUUUAGAUAAUAAAAUACCUUAUUCUAUUUUAUUUUCUCAUGAACCUCUUCAUCCUUUACUUCUAAAAGUUUUGUAGUUUACAUGUUUUGUUCAUAAUUUUAGUCCUAGUCUUGAUAAGUUAUCUCCUCGAUCACAAAAACGUGUUUUUUUAGUAUUUAUUAGAUCACAAAAAAGAUACAAGUGUUUUUUUCCUUCUCUUAACUGCUAUUUUUUUUUGUAGAUGUCACCUUCAAUGAGUCUUCUUUUUAUCUUAAAGGUCAUUCUUCUUUUGAUAUGUCUCCAUUUAAUAGUCAAUAUUCCUAGUCCAGUUAAUAUUCCUUUUAUUUGUGGUCCUUCAGUAGUGCCUUGUCCACCACCACCACCAUCACCAUCUUCAAUUCUUCUCCACCACCACUUUAGGUUUAUAGCCAGAGACAUUGUUCUCAACAGCCACUAAGUGAUUCAAUUCAAGGACCAACUACUUUGUCUCCUCUGGCUCUGACAACUGAGUCUGAUCUUCCAAUUGCCCUCCAAAAGGGUAUCUAUUCUACGUGUAAUCCCUCUCCACAUUAUAUUGCUUUGAGUUAUCAUUGAUUAUGUUCACUUUUUAUGCCAGCCUUUCAUCUAUUUCUUUUGUGGCCAUUCCAAAAUUUAUAAAUGAUGCCUUAGCCCAUCUUGGUUGGCGUCAUGCCAUGCUAGAUGAACUAAGUGUUUUUCAUAAUAGUGCAACUGGGGAGCUUGUCCUAUUAUUGUCUAGGAAAUUUGUUGUUGGUUACAAGUGGGUUUUUUCUAUCAAAGUUGGUUCUGAUGGUACUAUUGAUCACCUCAAAGUUCGUCUUAUAGUCAAAGAUUACAUAGAUUUUUGGGUUAGAUUAUGGUGAUACAUUUUCUCCAAUGGCAAAGAUAGCUUGUGUUUGUUUAUUUAUAUAGUCAUGGUUGUUAUUCAAUAAUGACCUCUUUACCAAUUCGAUGUCAAAAACAUGUUACUUAGUGGAGCUUUGCAAGAAGAGAUUUAUAUGGAGCAACCUCUAGGAUUUGUUGCUCAUGGGAAGCCUUAUGUCGUCUUUGCAAAUCCUUAUAUAGCCUAAAAUAGUCUCCUAGGACUUGGUUUGAAAAAUUUAGCAACAUUGUUCAACAAUUUGGUAUAACUUGGUGUUAGGCAGAUCAUUCAAUCUUUUAUUAUUACUCGAGUGCUGAAUGUGUCUACUUGAUAGUAUAUGUUAAUGACAUCGUUCUUACAUACAGUAACAACCAUGGCAUCUCCCAAAUGAACCAACAUCUUUGCCACCAUUUUCAGACCAAAGAUCUUAGUAAACUAAGAUAUUUCAUAGGUAUUGAGGUGGUACAGUCCAACGAUGAUAUUGUUAUAUUUCAAAGGAAGUAUGCAUUAGAGAUUUCAGAGGAAACUUGGUUGAUGAAUUCAAAAUCUAUUGACACUGUUGAGAUUAAAUCAGAAAAAUAUAUUUCUAAAGGGCUUAAUUGAUCCUUCUCAUGUUCUACCAUUUAUAUUGAUAAAGAGUUAAUACAAUAGGGAGAUAGAAGGUCAAGAGAUUGUCCUAGACUGCUAGGUACAAUCAUUAUAGAUAACCCAAUACACUACUACCUACCUUAGUCCUUCUGACUACCCUAACAUAGAUAGACUUAGUAAUUAUUCUACCAUUAAGAUACACACAGCUCACACACAACUCACACACACUAACCAAUAAUUCUAACACUCUUCCUCAAGCUGGAGCAUACAAAUUGUAUGAACCAAGCUUGAAAUAGAUAAACUCGAUUUUGAACUACAUGAAUUUUUCUUCAAAAGUGUGAGGCAGUGUGUUAUCACAUGUCAACGAAAAACUAACAACAGCUUGUGAAACUUCAACUUCAAAAGUGGAUGACAGAGAGCAGUGGUGGACAAUGACAAUCUGCAAGGAUGAAAUCCCUCAUCAACUAAGGAUGGGGCCUGCAGUGGCUAAAUGCGACAAAACUGCAGGGAUUGCCAUCUCUGAGACUGAUGGGUGAUGGGGCCUGUAGUGGCUGAAAGCUACAAAUCUACAGGGACUACCAUACUUAUGUGGCUUGAACUGCCAUACUUGACUUGUCGUGUGCCAUCUCUAAGAUUGAUGGGCGAUGGGGCCUGUAGUGGUUGAAAGCUACAAAUCUACAGGGACUACCAUACUUGACUUGCAGUGUCUUGGAAACAAACAUUAAUGUGGCUUGAACUGCCAUACUUGACUUACAGUGUCUUGGAAACAUACUCCCCCUCACUGUGAACGUUGGAAACAGUGAAAUUGUUGACUGGCAUUGGAAGCAUCACAGUUGCUUUGGAUAAACACACAUAAAUGAAGUCUACAAAAGAGAUUGACGUCCGAUGGGGAGCUUGCUGUUUUUUUUUUUUUUAUUUCAUCCUCUGUAAGACUUCUCUCAUCCUAUCUUCACUUUCAUUCACCAAGAGAUCAUGAGUCUUCAAUUUCAUAAUCUCCAUUCCUUUAAGCCUCACGUGGAGCUCACCAUCACCCUUGAAAUGCCAAAGACAGGUUGGAGUGUCCAAAGGAGAAGAAAACCAGUGGUGGCAAACAAGGAGAAGAAGAAACCAAAAUGCCACUAGGAUAACCAUGGCUGGAUUAUGUCUUGCGACAAUGAACGAACUUGGAUGACUCUUGUUGUAGGUACUUAAGUGACGCAAAUAGGGUGAUAAAGAAGUAGACGUGUCUCCACCAUUCCAGAACGAAAACAACAUAUUGGAGAUUUUCGAUUUUAGGGUUUUAAGAGAGAAAACUUAUAAUAACAUGACUUCGAAAUUAGGAACCAGGGGUAAAUAUGGACUCAUCACGAUUCGACAAGUCAGACAAUGAUGAAAUAGAGGAGAUCCGAAGGAUUUAGGGUUCCAAAACAAUCAAAGGAGAAAACCCUAGAUUUGAGUUACAGCCACCAAACCAAAGAAACAAAGACAAAAACAAACUCAGGAGGCUCCGGCGAGUCGACCGGAAGCAACGCGGUGAGAUUCCGACACCGGGAAGGUGGCGCGUGACAAACACGUCUCAUGAGAUCUGUCGGAGAGAUGAGGCGCGUGUGGAGGAGUUUGGUCCUGUCUCCAGUAGGGUUGGUCGUCGCUCGAGGCAGUUGCCUUUCUAGGAUUCCCUGGAGACUUUAGGUCUCUUUGAUGCAGGGUGCAAAUGAAUGGAAGAAUGUCAAUGUUUGGGCAUUAGAGAAGGACCCGUUCUAAUUUUAAUGGGCCAAAGUCUGCAAGAAUUCUUUAGUUGUUAUCAGAGGAAACAAGGUGUUGGUGACGUCGGAGAUAGGCCAAGUCAGGUACUAGUGGCUGAGAAAGACAUAAGUCUUAGAAACUGAACUUGGCUAGGUAAUUGUAGGACUGCCACUGAAACACAAAGAUUGAAAGACUAAACUUUUAGGGGGGCUGCCGGUGGCUAUGACGGCCGGCCGCCGGCAAACAGUAAAGGCAGCCAGUAAAGGAUCAGAAAACCUUCUCUAAUACCAUGUUGAGAUUAAAUCAGAAAAAUAUAUUUCUAAAGGGCUUAAUUGACCCUUCUCAUGUUCUACCAUUUAUAUUGAUAAAGAGUUAAUACAAUAGGGAGAUAGAAGGUCAAGAGACUGUCCUAGACUGCUAGGUACAAUCAUUAUAGAUAACCCAAUAUACUACUACCUACUUUAGUCCUUCUAACUACCCUAACAUAGAUAGACUUAGUAAUUAUUCUACCAUUAAGAUACACAUAACUCACACACACUAACCAAUAAUUCUAACAGACACACCCAUGGAUCCUAAUACUUAACUUUUACUAAAUCAUGGGGAGUCGUUAGAUCCCAAGCAUUAUAGAAGAUUAGUUGGAACUUAAAUUAUCUUACAGCUACUCGUCUUGACAUUUUUUUGGCAGUCUGUGUGGUAAGCCCAUUUCUUAAUUCCCAUGUGAAGAUCAUUGGAAUGCAGUCAUACUAAUAUUAAAGUACAUUAAAGGAGCUCCCAGAAAAGGGUUGUUAUAUAGAUCCAAUAAGCAUAAAGAAGUUGUUUGUUAUUAUGAUUGGGCAUGAUCUCCUUCUGAUAGAAGGUUUACAUCCGG
Molecule: long non-coding RNA, 4126 nt
Filed under: Vigna radiata
Lineage: Eukaryota; Viridiplantae; Streptophyta; Magnoliopsida; Fabales; Fabaceae
Description: long non-coding RNA (VRAD_LNC004635)
Source: RNAcentral